CGCGGGCGGGUGCCCGAAGGAGGCGACGUGACGCGCGCGAGAGGGACCCCGCUGGGAGGGACCUGGAAACCAGGAGGACCCGAAGGGAGACCUAGCUUGAGGAUGGGACACGACGUGGAGGAUCUCCGGGCGCCUGUGAGGAGAACCCUACGCUGAGGGGUUUAAGAAGAAAUCAGCGCGCGUGGACGAGAGACAGCUGGUGACGCUGAGUAACUCUGCCUGCGACCAGGCUCGCGUGCCCUGUUCAUCUCCCUGCAAGCCCGAGAGAUUUGUACACACGAGCCCGGGUCGGAGCAGUAGAGACGACGGGGCAGAGAGUCGCGCCCACCCUGGUGGUCUUCCCGGAAGUGCGCCCGCUUCCCUUCCCUUUGCGCCGCCUCCCAGAAGUUGUGGGGUACAGGGUAAUGGGCUUCUUCCGGCCUGCUCCCCAAUUCCUUGAGUCUCGAGUUUAUGAAUGUGUAGAAUCACCUGCAGAACCUGUUCAAAGGGAGAGUUGAACUGUUUCCCCAACCCAAGUAAUUCAGUAAGGUGUGGGUGUGCAUUUUAACAAGGACUCUGCAUUUUA
Long non-coding RNA from Chinchilla lanigera (long-tailed chinchilla), 565 nucleotides. RefSeq lists it as uncharacterized. Lineage: Eukaryota; Metazoa; Chordata; Mammalia; Rodentia; Chinchillidae. The transcript has 2 exons. The record is from RefSeq and is a predicted model, not a curated record.